RNAcentral lists this long non-coding RNA (1102 nucleotides) under Oryctolagus cuniculus (rabbit). RNAcentral's name for it is "lncRNA (ENSOCUG00000035701.1)". Lineage: Eukaryota; Metazoa; Chordata; Mammalia; Lagomorpha; Leporidae. The record is from RNAcentral.
GGUGUGUAUAAAUAAUGGAAACACAUAUUUUUGAAAUAAAAUAUUGAUUCUAAAGACUAUCCUCAUUAUAAUUUUUUAACAACUGACAAAGAAUUUGUCUAUGGGACUCCAAUUUACAAAGUAGAAUUAAUUUUCCAUGACUUACACAAAUGGGACAGAAGCAAAUACAUGAGCUUUUUGCCUCUUUGUGCAUUUUUUAAUUUGGAAACUAGUGAGUAAUUGUAGGGUCUGUCUCUGUGCCACAAAGAGACUCCUUUAUGCCUCAUUUCAGUCAAAUAACCCAUCAGCUGGAUAUCAGGUGAUAUCAAGCAUUCCAUAAAAUAUUUGACUGCUCUACUCCAUGGAUGACAUAAAAGGUUUGAGAAAUUCUAAUGCAAAUCCACUCCCCAGCAGAGCCACUCGAGAGCACCUGCUCGCCACUCUUGUCCUCAUGAUGUCAUCGCGACCUUCCACACUGAGCACACAUCCCAGGCUGCCAGGACCUCUCGGUUGUUUUUCUGAGUUCUGCAUGAUCUGCGCACUCAAGAUUUUGGACCUGAGAUUGCCAUAGCACUUCUAGCGUGAUUAUUGUUGUCUGCACACCUGAGUUGGCAUAUGGCUGGGCUGCUUUACAGAUUCGGAAGUCACUAGCUCCCAAGAUCAUGUGAGUCAAUUCCUUGAGACACACACACACACACACACACACAAUCAUGGGAGUCUAACGGGGCCAUGGACCUUUAGAAACUUGAAGAGAUAAGUAUUCUGAAGAGAAAAAAGAAAGAAACGGAAGCCUUUGCCUAGGUCUCCCAUGCGAGAACACCUCUUCAGCAACCACAUCCAGGAGGCAGGGCACUGUGGGAGCCGGAGUGUCGGUUCUGUUGGAGACCACUUUUCUGAACAAAUGGUUGGUUUCACUGGAGCCCUUGCCACUGGCUAAUGGCCCGAGCAGCUCGAAGGACUUCAUUGGAACUCAUUUAUAUUCAAGAUCAUGCAAGCUCCCAGUGUUCUCCAAAGCUGUCUUCAGGCUUUCAGUCAUGUUCCAGGGAGAGAUAUAAGCCCAAUCACCUUGAGUUGGCACAAACGUUAUUGCCAGAGCUGGGCUGGGGUUGAAGCCAGGAACAAG